GUCACGCUGUUCAGUUUACUGUAAUAGCAUUGAAAUGAGGAUGUAAUGUGCAAGAUAUUGAAAGAUGGUUCAACUGAUGGAACAUAAUCCAACCACAAUAAAAAGAUUUGGAUUGCGCAAGUUUUGCAGUGCUGCCUUUUACCUGAUGGUGAAACUAGUUCCGGCAAUAAAUCCGAGUCAGGUUCUGGCGGGGAACAAGCAUGACAUAAAGCCUGUGCUUGAUGCCGUCAUCAUUUCUGCCUGCAAAGGU
Dreissena polymorpha is the source of this 250-nucleotide long non-coding RNA. RefSeq lists it as uncharacterized. Lineage: Eukaryota; Metazoa; Mollusca; Bivalvia; Myida; Dreissenidae. The record is from RefSeq and is a predicted model, not a curated record. The transcript is spliced from 3 exons.